GUGAGCACAGGUGUGUUCAGGCGGCAGCGCAUUUGCACGCCCAGGUGUGGCUGCGCAGGUGUGCAAGAGCUGCCGCCCUUGUGCCGGUCUGUGGCCACACCCGCGGCUGUUACCUGUGCACGCUCACAGGUGCGUGGCACUGUCACACCUGCCCAGGUGCGUGGCACUGUCACACCUUCCUGAGUGUUUGUGCUCACACAGGUGCAUGGCACUGCCACACCUGCCCAGGUGUGUGGCACUUUCACACCUUCCUGAGUGUUUGUGCUCACACAGGUGUGUGGCACUGUCACACCUGCCCGAGUGUUUGUGCUCACACAGGUGCGUGGCACUGCCGCACCUGCCCAGGUGUGUGUGCUGCCCCACCUGUGCCCUGUCGCACACGCGUGUGCGGGGGGGCGCGGGGGCUGCGUGCGCACGGGGGCACACCUGGGCGUGCGGCCGUGUCCAGGUGUGCAUGAAGGGCUGUGAGUGCACAGUCCCAGGUGUGCACAGCUCAGGUGUGCCCAUGUGUGCCCAUCCCAGGUGUGCACAGGGAUCCAGGUGUGCCCAGGCGUGGCCAUCCCUGGUGUGCACAGCUCAGGUGUGCCCAUGUGUGCCCAUCCCAGGUGUGCACAGGGAUCCAGGUGUGCCCAGGCGUGGCCAUCCCUGGUGUGCACAGCUCAGGUGUGCCCAGGUGUGCCCAUCCCAGGUGUGCACAGGGAUCCAGGUGUGCCGCAGCCCAUCCAGGUGUGCACAGAAAUGCCCAAGUGUGCAUCCCCAGGUGUGCCCAGGUGUGCCCAAGGAUCCAGGUGUGCCCAUGUGCGCACAGCUUCAGGUAUGCCCAAGUGUGCACAAGGAUCCAGAUGUGCACAUUGCAGGUAUGCACAAGGAUCCAGGUGUGCCCCGGUGUGCCCAUCCAGGUGAGCCCAUCCAGGUGUGCCCAUCCAGGUGUGCCCAUCCAGGUGUGCACAGGGAUCCAGGUGAGCCCAUCCAGGUGUGCACAGGGAUCGAGGUGUGCCCAGGGACCCAGGUGAGCCCAUCCAGGUGUGCACAGGGAUCCAGGUGUGCCCAUCCAGGUGAGCCCAGCCCGGCCGUGCCGCAGCCCCCGCGCUGCCCCGGGGGUUUUUUUUGGGGGGGGUUGGGGGGGUCCCCGGGGUGGGUGGGGGAGGGGAGACUCACAGGCUCGGGGGGGCCCCGCGGUCCGGGGGGGCUCGGCCGGGCCCUGCGGGAGGAGGAGGAGGAGAGAGAAGCGUUAGGGGCCCCCCGCCCCCCGCUCCGGACACCUGUGGGAAGAAGCCGCGGCCCUGCCCGGCCCCGCCCCCACCUGCGCAGGCCCCGCCCCCACCUGCCCGCAGGCCCCGCCCCCGGCCCCGCCCCCGCCCCGCCCCCCCUCCGCGCGGACGGACGGACGGACACGGGGGCGACGCCCUGGCUGCGCCCGCGAGUGAGCCCGGGGAGCCCGGGAGUGACCCUUGGGUGACCCCGGAGUGACCCUGAGCUGACCCCGAGUGACCUUGGCUGGCCCUGACCGCGACUGACCGCGACUGACCCCCCACAACUGCCCCCGACUGCCC
RNAcentral lists this long non-coding RNA (1553 nucleotides) under Corvus moneduloides (New Caledonian crow). RNAcentral's name for it is "lncRNA (ENSCMUG00000019598.1)". Lineage: Eukaryota; Metazoa; Chordata; Aves; Passeriformes; Corvidae. The record is from RNAcentral.